AGAAAAAUAAGCAUAGGCAUGAAGUAAGUCAUUUGGAACAUAGAAAGGAAGAAAGAAGAAACAGUUCUCAUCUUUAGAGGAGAAGAAAAGGGGAAUUGAAGUUUGUACCUGGAGGAGUAUCUUCAGAAGUCUGCAAGAGGAGGAUUUGGCAGGAGGACGGUUCCAAAGGCAGCACCUCCAAGGGGAAGACACGCAAUCAUUGUGCUCCUUCAAACCAAGCUCAGCUCUGCCUUUCAAACCAAACUCCAGGACUGCCAUCUUCUAAUGUGUAAAACAGCAGUAACAAUUCUUACUGUCAAGGUUCCCCCUGCCUUGUCAUCGGGUCUGGAAAGCAACACGCCCAUCAUGGGCCGCUGACUGCAGAAGACAACCCUAGAACAGCCAGGACCCUGUGGGUAUCAGAACCCCGAGGUGAAUGUUCAGCCUUAAUCACACUUCUUGUCGGUAGCACUUACACAUGGA
Molecule: long non-coding RNA, 462 nt
Filed under: Fukomys damarensis (Damara mole-rat)
Lineage: Eukaryota; Metazoa; Chordata; Mammalia; Rodentia; Bathyergidae
Description: lncRNA (ENSFDAG00000022354.1)
Source: RNAcentral